This 469-nucleotide ribosomal RNA is filed under the name uncultured bacterium. RNAcentral's name for it is "partial 16S ribosomal RNA". It matches the Rfam family "Bacterial small subunit ribosomal RNA", at positions 28 to 507 of the family's 1533-position model. The record is from RNAcentral.
GACGAACGCUGGCGGCGUGCUUAACACAUGCAAGUCGAACGGAAAGGCCCUGCUUGCAGGGUGCUCGAGUGGCGAACGGGUGAGUAACACGUGGGUGAUCUGCCCCUUACUUUGGGAUAAGCCUGGGAAACUGGGUCUAAUACUGGAUAGGACCAUGCUGUAGGUGGUGUGGUGGAAAGAUUAGUUUCGGUAAGGGAUGAGCUCGCGGCCUAUCAGCUUGUUGGUGGGGUAAUGGCCUACCAAGGCGUCGACGGGUAGCCGGCCUGAGAGGGUGGACGGCCAGAUUGGGAAUGAUGUGAGGACCAGACUCCUACGGGAGGCAGCAGUGGGGAGUAGUGCACAAUGGGCGCAGGCCGGAUGCAGCGACGCCGCGUGGGGGAUGACGGCGUUCGGGUUGUAAACGCCGUACAGCCAUGACGAAGCCCUUGUGGUGACGGUAGUGGAAGAAGAAGCACCGGCUAACUACGUG